GAUUAUUUGCCUGUCACCAUUUGCUUGUGACACACCUUUGUGAAUAUGCAAGGUUAAGUAUUGUCAAUUUAAUUUACUUUAAUAACUCCUUUGAUAUUAUUUGCUUGAAUUGUUGUCUAGUGAUCUGAGAAAACAGCUUUCUAGGCACCCUAUAUUAGAUGAGUGGGCAGAAUACUACGUUGGCGACAGGUUAUACUAAGAACCCAGUCCCUGGCAGCCAUAGACAUUUUUGCUGGCUCUUAAUUCUCUCUUGUCUUUUCUUUGCAGGGGUAUUUAAUUUCUUUCUGCCAGCACUAGAUGCAAUGCAACUAGUGCAGAUGUUUGUUUCAGAGUCAGCAAAUAUCCUAUUUGACAAACACGGUACAGCAGGUCCUGGUCCACCAAACGACUAAAGCAGCACAUGCAACACCUACUCCAAGUUCUGUACCACCUUUUCGCUAGUUUCGUGAACUAGAAGAGGAUUGGCUCAAGUGGUUGCAACAGUUUGAAGCUCACUUAAUUGCUCACAACGUACCACAUUCACCUAUCCCAAGGACACCAAGGCCACAGCAGCCACCAGAGGGUGUUAUCACGACACCGCAGGACAACCCCACAGAGAUGGAGCCUUCGCCUCCUCUCGUCCUACUGAUGGAGCUGGACCCACUCACACUUCAGCAGCCGAUGCCUUCUACAUCUGGUUAUUGGCCUUUAGAGGUUGACGCGUACCCGUCUGGUCAUUUUCCGGGACAUGUUUUCACCACAGCAAAUGCCAGAUUUCAGGGUACAACUGGAAGCUUGAUGGCCCCUGCAGUCACAGCUUCCAGUCACACUCCCUACACAACGGCUGUCCGUCACUUUGGCAGUGAGGAAUGUUCCGGCAUAACGACAAGCACCAGUGCAAUGAUGAAGUAUGGAAGAGCAGAGAGGGCUGUGAGACACCGUCAGCCAAUAGCACGCUGACUAGCAUGACACCAACACAGGAGCGGCAUCUACACGAACAGAAUAUGUGUUGCGUCACCUAGCCAUAACCACAGUAGAAGACGAGCCAUCAUACAAACACCACAGCGGUGACUUUUGAACUGAAUUGUUUUGCUUGCAUUGAAAUUGUAUAUAACGAAAGACAUUGAUUAUUUGCCUGUCGCCAUUUACUUGCAACACACUUUUGUGAAUACACAAAGUUAAGUAUUGUCAAUUUAA
This is an RNA transcript of Schistocerca americana (American grasshopper), 1176 nucleotides long. RefSeq lists it as uncharacterized. The record is from RefSeq and is a predicted model, not a curated record. The transcript is spliced from 2 exons. NCBI's taxonomy places the organism in Eukaryota, Metazoa, Arthropoda, Insecta, Orthoptera, Acrididae.